CCUGGCCUAGGCCGCUGCUCGUCGGCGUGCCGCUCGUGCCUAUUACCUUGACUAUGCGCACCUUUGUUGUUCCCUCGGCAGUCCGCUGCCGCCAGGGACCCCCUAAAACCUUAUGUAAUACAGUACACUUCUGAAAAAUUUUUUAAUUAUUUA
This 153-nucleotide unclassified non-coding RNA is filed under the name uncultured Ascomycota. RNAcentral describes it as "sequence contains ITS1". Lineage: Eukaryota; Fungi; Ascomycota. The record is from RNAcentral.